This 73-nucleotide transfer RNA is filed under the name Firmicutes bacterium CAG:212. RNAcentral describes it as "transfer RNA-Thr(CGT)". It matches the Rfam family "tRNA". Rfam says of the family: Transfer RNA (tRNA) molecules are approximately 80 nucleotides in length. Lineage: Bacteria; Bacillati; Bacillota. RNAcentral also lists the same sequence under 1 other name. The record is from RNAcentral.
GCCGAAAUAGCUCAGUUGGUAGAGCACUUCACUCGUAAUGAAGGGGGCGUCGGUUCAAGUCCGAUUUUCGGCU